Molecule: ribosomal RNA, 373 nt
Filed under: uncultured Streptococcus sp.
Lineage: Bacteria; Bacillati; Bacillota; Bacilli; Lactobacillales; Streptococcaceae
Description: bacterial SSU rRNA
Rfam family: Bacterial small subunit ribosomal RNA
Source: RNAcentral
UAAGUAAGUACUUCGGUACAUCGGUGACAGGUGGUGCAUGGUUGUCGUCAGCUCGUGUCGUGAGAUGUUGGGUUAAGUCCCGCAACGAGCGCAACCCCUAUUGUUAGUUGCCAUCAUUCAGUUGGGCACUCUAGCGAGACUGCCGGUAAUAAACCGGAGGAAGGUGGGGAUGACGUCAAAUCAUCAUGCCCCUUAUGACCUGGGCUACACACGUGCUACAAUGGUUGGUACAACGAGUUGCGAGUCGGUGACGGCGAGCUAAUCUCUUAAAGCCAAUCUCAGUUCGGAUUGUAGGCUGCAACUCGCCUACAUGAAGUCGGAAUCGCUAGUAAUCGCGGAUCAGCACGCCGCGGUGAAUACGUUCCCGGGCCUU